UACGUAGGGGGCAAGCGUUGUCCGGAAUCAUUGGGCGUAAAGCGCGUGUAGGCGGCUUGGUAAGUCCGCUCUGAAAGCCCGGGGCUCAACCCCGGGAGGCGGGUGGAUACUGCUGGGCUCGAGUCCGGAAGAGGAGUGUGGAAUUCCUGGUGUAGCGGUGAAAUGCGCAGAUAUCAGGAAGAACACCCGUGGCGAAGGCGGCUCUCUGGGACGGUACUGACGCUGAGACGCGAAAGCGUGGGGAGCGAACAGG
RNAcentral lists this ribosomal RNA (253 nucleotides) under uncultured bacterium. Its description in RNAcentral is "partial 16S ribosomal RNA". It matches the Rfam family "Bacterial small subunit ribosomal RNA", at positions 524 to 776 of the family's 1533-position model. The record is from RNAcentral.